Molecule: ribosomal RNA, 252 nt
Filed under: uncultured bacterium
Lineage: Bacteria
Description: partial 16S ribosomal RNA
Rfam family: Bacterial small subunit ribosomal RNA
Source: RNAcentral
UACGUAGGGUGCGAGCGUUGUCCGGAAUUAUUGGGCGUAAAGAGCUUGUAGGCGGUCUGUCGCGUCUGCUGUGAAAAUCCGGGGCUCAACCCCGGACUUGCAGUGGGUACGGGCAGACUAGAGUGUGGUAGGGGGAGACUGGAAUUCCUGGUGUAGCGGUGAAAUGCGCAGAUAUCAGGAGGAACACCGAUGGCGAGGCAGGUCUCUGGGCCACUACUGACGCUGAGAGCGAAAGCGUGGGGAGCAAACAGG